This 376-nucleotide ribosomal RNA is filed under the name uncultured bacterium. Its description in RNAcentral is "bacterial SSU rRNA". It matches the Rfam family "Bacterial small subunit ribosomal RNA", at positions 521 to 896 of the family's 1533-position model. The record is from RNAcentral.
UAAUACGUAGGGUGCAGGCGUUAAUCGGAAUUACUGGGCGUAAAGCGUGCGCAGGCGGUUUCUUAAGUCAGAUGUGAAAGCCCCGGGCUUAACCUGGGAACUGCGUUUGAAACUGGGAGACUUGAGUGUGGCAGAGGGGGGUGGAAUUCCACGUGUAGCAGUGAAAUGCGUAGAUAUGUGGAGGAACACCGAUGGCGAAGGCAGCCCCCUGGGUUAACACUGACGCUCAUGCACGAAAGCGUGGGGAGCAAACAGGAUUAGAUACCCUGGUAGUCCACGCCCUAAACUAUGUCAACUGGUUGUCGGGGGAUUGAUUCCCUUGGUAACGAAGCUAACGCGUGAAGUUGACCGCCUGGGGAGUACGGCCGCAAGGUUA